This 470-nucleotide ribosomal RNA is filed under the name uncultured organism. Its description in RNAcentral is "partial 16S ribosomal RNA". It matches the Rfam family "Bacterial small subunit ribosomal RNA", at positions 334 to 796 of the family's 1533-position model. The record is from RNAcentral.
CACUCCUACGGGAGGCAGCAGUGGGGAAUUUUGGACAAUGGGCGAAAGCCUGAUCCAGCAAUGCCGCGUGAGUGAAGAAGGCCUUCGGGUUGUAAAGCUCUUUUGUCAGGGAAGAAACGGUGAAAGCUAAUAUCUUUUGCUAAUGACGGUACCUGAAGAAUAAGCACCGGCUAACUACGUGCCAGCAGCCGCGGUAAUACGUAGGGUGCAAGCGUUAAUCGGAAUUACUGGGCGUAAAGCGUGCGCAGGCGGUUUUGUAAGUCUGAUGUGAAAUCCCCGGGCUCAACCUGGGAAUUGCAUUGGAGACUGCAAGGCUAGAAUCUGGCAGAGGGGGGUAGAAUUCCACGUGUAGCAGUGAAAUGCGUAGAUAUGUGGAGGAACACCGAUGGCGAAGGCAGCCCCCUGGGUCAAGAUUGACGCUCAUGCACGAAAGCGUGGGGAGCAAACAGGAUUAGAAACCCUUGUAGUCC